RNAcentral lists this transfer RNA (72 nucleotides) under Elusimicrobiota bacterium. Its description in RNAcentral is "tRNA-Thr". It matches the Rfam family "tRNA". From Rfam's summary of the family: Transfer RNA (tRNA) molecules are approximately 80 nucleotides in length. Their secondary structure includes four short double-helical elements and three loops (D, anti-codon, and T loops). The record is from RNAcentral. Lineage: Bacteria; Pseudomonadati; Elusimicrobiota.
GCCGAGGUGGCUCAGUGGUAGAGCACCUCCUUGGUAAGGAGGCGGUCGUGGGUUCAAUUCCCACCCUCGGCU